Molecule: ribosomal RNA, 1213 nt
Filed under: metagenome
Description: SSU rRNA
Rfam family: Eukaryotic small subunit ribosomal RNA
Source: RNAcentral
AGUCUGGUGCCAGCAGCCGCGGUAAUUCCAGCUCCAAUAGCGUAUAUUAAUGUUGCUGCAGUUAAAAAGCUCGUAGUUGGAUUUCUGACUUGGCGCACCUGGCCCGCCACCGUUAGGUGUGUGAGUGCCGGGAUGCGCCUGUCACUUUUCUGGUAAACUAUUGUGCUCUUCAUUGGGUAUGAUAGGUAGCCAGAUAUUUUACUUUGAAAAAAUUAGAGUGUUUAAAGCAGGCGUUUGCUAUGAAUACAUUAGCAUGGAAUAAUAAGUUAGGACUUCGGUCCUAUUUUGUUGGUUUCUAGGACUGAAGUAAUGAUUGAUAGGGAUAGUUGGGGGCGCUAGUAUUCAGCGGCCAGAGGUGAAAUUCUCGGAUUCGCUGAAGACUAACUUAUGCGAAAGCAUUCACCAAGGAUGUCUUCUUUAAUCAAGAACGAAAGUUGGGGGAUCGAAGACGAUCAGAUACCGUCGUAGUCUCAACCAUAAACUAUGCCGACUAGGGAUGAGUGAUCGUUGUUUUACGACUUCAUUCGCACCUUAUGAGAAAUCAAAGUCCUUGGGUUCCGGGGGGAGUAUGGUCGCAAGGCUGAAACUUAAAGGAAUUGACGGAAGGGCACCACCAGGAGUGGAGCCUGCGGCUUAAUUUGACCCAACACGGGGAAACUUACCAGGUCCAGACUCAGUGAGGAUUGACAGAUUGAAGAUCUUUCUUGAUUUUGAGGGUGGUGGUGCAUGGCCGUUCUUAGUUGGUGGAGCGAUUUGUCUGGUUUAUUCCGUUAACGAACGAGACCACGACCUGCUAAAUAGUUCGACCUAGGGUUUACUCUAGGUUCGUGACUUCUUAGAGGGACUAUCGGUGUGUAGCCGAUGGAAGUUCGUGGCAAUAACAGGUCUGUGAUGCCCUUAGAUGUUCUGGGCCGCACGCGCGCUACACUGAUGCAUUCAUCGAGCUUACAACCUUGCCUGAGAGGGCUGGGUAAUCUUUGAAAAUGCAUCGUGCUGGGGAUAGAUUAUUGUAAUUAUUAAUCUUCAACGAGGAAUUCCUAGUAAACGCGUGUCAUCAACACGCAUUGAUUACGUCCCUGCCCUUUGUACACACCGCCCGUCGCUACUACCGAUUGAAUGAAUUAGUGAGCUCCAGAGAUCGAGCUGUUUCGGGCAACCGGGGCAGAUUGAGAACUGGAUCAAACUUGCUCAUUUAGAGGAAGUAAAAGUCGUA